UGGGGAAUAUUGCACAAUGGAGGGAACUCUGAUGCAGCGACGCCGCGUGAACGAAGAAGGCUUUCGAGUCGUAAAGUUCUUUUAUAUGGGAAGAUAAUGACGGUACCAUAAGAAAAAGCCCCGGCUAACUACGUGCCAGCAGCCGCGGUAAUACGUAGGGGGCUAGCGUUGUCCGGAAUCACUGGGCGUAAAGGGUUCGCAGGCGGAAAUGCAAGUCAGGUGUAAAAGGCAGUAGCUUAACUACUGUAAGCAUUUGAAACUGCAUAUCUUGUGAAGGGUAGAGGUAAGUGGAAUUUUUAGUGUAGCGGUGAAAUGCGUAGAUAUUAAAAAGAAUACCGGUGGCGAAGGCGACUUACUGGGCUCAUUCUGACGCUGAGGAACGAAAGCGUGGGUAGCAAACAGG
Molecule: ribosomal RNA, 403 nt
Filed under: Fusobacteriota bacterium
Lineage: Bacteria; Fusobacteriati; Fusobacteriota
Description: Fusobacteria bacterium partial 16S ribosomal RNA
Rfam family: Bacterial small subunit ribosomal RNA
Source: RNAcentral